This 501-nucleotide ribosomal RNA is filed under the name uncultured bacterium. RNAcentral describes it as "partial 16S ribosomal RNA". It matches the Rfam family "Bacterial small subunit ribosomal RNA", at positions 30 to 523 of the family's 1533-position model. The record is from RNAcentral.
AUUGAACGCUGGCGGCAUGCCUUACACAUGCAAGUCGAACGGCAGCACGGGUGCUUGCACCUGGUGGCGAGUGGCGAACGGGUGAGUAAUACAUCGGAACGUACCUUAUCGUGGGGGAUAACGCAGCGAAAGUUGCGCUAAUACCGCAUACGCCCUGAGGGGGAAAGCGGGGGACCGUAAGGCCUCGCGCGAUUAGAGCGGCCGAUGUCUGAUUAGCUUGUUGGUGAGGUAAAAGCUCACCAAGGCGAUGAUCAGUAGCUGGUCUGAGAGGACGAUCAGCCACACUGGGACUGAGACACGGCCCAGACUCCUACGGGAGGCAGCAGUGGGGAAUUUUGGACAAUGGGGGCAACCCUGAUCCAGCAAUGCCGCGUGAGUGAAGAAGGCCUUCGGGUUGUAAAGCUCUUUUGUCAGGGAAGAAACAGCAGCUCUAACACAGUCCGGGAAUGACGGUACCUGAAGAAUAAGCACCGGCUAACUACGUGCCAGCCGCCGCCGUAA